Molecule: ribosomal RNA, 497 nt
Filed under: uncultured bacterium
Lineage: Bacteria
Description: partial 16S ribosomal RNA
Rfam family: Bacterial small subunit ribosomal RNA
Source: RNAcentral
GAUGAACGCUGGCGGCGUGCCUAAUACAUGCAAGUCGAGCGCACAAACGAGGAGCUUGCCCCUCUGCCGUUAACUGCGGACGGGAGAGUAACACGUGGAUAACCUACAUAUAAGACUGGGCUAACUUCGGGAAACCGGCUCUAAUAACCUGUAACAUGUUGAACCGCAUGGUUCAACAGACAAAGACGCUCUUUCUGUCACUUAUUGAUGGAUCCGCGCCGCAUUAGCUAGUUGGUAAGGUAACGGCUUACCAAGGCAACGAUGCGUAGCCGACCUGAGAGGGUGAGCGGCCACACUGGAACUGAGACACGGUCCAGACUCCUACGGGAGGCAGCAGUAAGGAAUCUUCCGCAAUGGGCGAAAGCCUGACGGAGCAACGCCGCGUGAGUGAAGAAGGUCUUCGGAUCGUAAAACUCUGUUAUUAGGGAAGAACAAAUGUGUAAGUAACUAUGCACGUCGUGACGGUACCUAAUCAGAAAGCCACGGCUAACUACGUG